Molecule: ribosomal RNA, 253 nt
Filed under: uncultured bacterium
Lineage: Bacteria
Description: partial 16S ribosomal RNA
Rfam family: Bacterial small subunit ribosomal RNA
Source: RNAcentral
UACGUAGGGUGCAAGCGGUGUCCGGAAUUAUUGGGCGUAAAGAGCUCGUAGGCGGUCUGUCGCGUCGGCUGUGAAAUCCCGAGGCUCAACCUCGGGUCUGCAGUCGAUACGGGCAAACUAGAGUAUUGCAGGGGAGACUGGAAUUCCUGGUGUAGCGGUGAAAUGCGCAGAUAUCAGGAGGAACACCGGUGGCGAAGGCGGGUCUCUGGGCAAUAACUGACGCUGAGGAGCGAAAGCGUGGGGAGCGAACAGG